UUUAAUUGGAGAGUUUGAUCCUGGCUCAGAAUGAACGCUGGCGGCGUGCUUAACACAUGCAAGUCGAACGAGAAAGCGAACUUCGGUUCGUGAGUAGAGUGGCGCACGGGUGAGUAAUACGUAGAUAAUCUACCUUCGAAUUUGGGAUAACAUCGCGAAAGUGAUGCUAAUACCGGAUAAUAUUGAUAAGGCCUUGGUUUUGUUAAUCAAAGAUGGCCAAUUCUUGAAAGCUAUUGUUUGAAGAUGAGUCUACGCACCAUUAGCUAGUUGGUGGGGUAAAAGCCUACCAAGGCGACGAUGGUUAGCUGGUCUGAGAGGAUGAUCAGCCACACUGGAACUGACACACGGUCCAGACUCCUACGGGAGGCAGCAGUGAGGAAUUUUGCGCAAUGGGGGAAACCCUGACGCAGCAACGCCGCGUGAGUGAUGAAGGCUUUCGGGUCGUAAAGCUCUGUCAAGUGGGAAGAAACAGCAAGGUGCUAAUAUCAUCUUGUUUUGACGGUACCACUGAAGGAAGCACCGGCUAACUCCGUGCCAGCAGCCGCGGUAAUACGGGGGGUGCAAGCGUUAUUCGGAAUCAUUGGGCGUAAAGGGCGCGUAGGCGGCCUGUUAAGUCAGAUGUGAAAGCCCGGGGCUUAACCCCGGAAGUGCAUUUGAAACUAAUAGGCUUGAGUAUGGGAGAGGGAAGUGGAAUUCCUGGUGUAGAGGUGAAAUUCGUAGAUAUCAGGAGGAACACCGGUGGCGAAGGCGCCUUUCUGGACAGAUACUGACGCUGAGGUGCGAAGGUGUGGGUAGCGAACAGGAUUAGAUACCCUGGUAGUCCACACAGUAAACGUUGUUCACUAGGUGCAGCGGGUAUUAACUCCUGCUGUGCCGCAGCUAACGCAUUAAGUGAACCGCCUGGGGAGUACGGUCGCAAGACUAGAACUCAAAGGAAUUGACGGGGGCCCGCACAAGCGGUGGAGCACGUGGUUUAAUUCGACGCAAC
RNAcentral lists this ribosomal RNA (988 nucleotides) under Aestuariibacter sp. RNAcentral describes it as "bacterial SSU rRNA". It matches the Rfam family "Bacterial small subunit ribosomal RNA", at positions 1 to 960 of the family's 1533-position model. The record is from RNAcentral. Lineage: Bacteria; Pseudomonadati; Pseudomonadota; Gammaproteobacteria; Alteromonadales; Alteromonadaceae.